CGUUAAAAUUUCAUUUCGAGAUUAAAAUUUUCUUCUACAAGAAAUUUAUUAAAAAUAAAAUUCGAUUGAUAUCCAAUCAACUUCAUAAAUAAUAUAAUCCACAUCUUUAUGAAUUAUACAAUCGAAUGAAUAAAACGAUCUCUAAAAACGUAAAAAUAUUCAGUACGAAAUCAACAAGGUUCCUGACUAACCGAAGAGAAUAAGUAACCCGUUUUGAGGUCAAUCGGAACGAUUCGACGUUCCACUUCCGGAAAUCAUUGGCGAAUAAGGAAGAUCGCAGGCUAUAUAAGCGAUGCACAAGAAUAAAAACGCGUUCAGUUCUCCCUUGUUGCCGAUCUGUCGGCAGCAAAACUUGCAGCCAAAGCUCGAAUCGGGGGCAUAAAGUGCCGGUUCAAUUACUAUAAAGCUCUUCUUUGCUACGUAUGCCAGCGACUGCGAGCUGUCAGGGUGUGGCGUCCAGACACCAUGGCGCCGAUUCCCUAACCCCUAACUCGUUUUCUUCCCCCGUUCGAAUGGCGUUCGAGGACGUUGCGCCAGAUUAAAACAGGAUCGACUCACUUUCUGAAACCGGGUCGCCGUCUUCUGUUUACAAUCGUUGAAAUUUUAUUGCGAAUUUCCUCCAGCGGAUUUCCAUAUGUUAAUUGGACGAUGCUAUUUUUAAAUUAUUGCUAAUGGAUUUGAAUAUUUUAUUGGAAGUGGAGGAUUUUGCUUAUGAUUGAGAAUUUUUAUUGAGUUUUUUGAGAGAAUUCUAUAUUUUUAGAUUAUCUUUAUGUUUUUUUUUGUUCUUUCAGGUGGAUAAAGUUAUUGCUGGUAUUUUUGGAAGUGAAGGAAGUAAAAGUUAUAGAAAGGAGGUUUUAAUAAACACAAUCAAAUAUUCAUUCAUUUAAUUUAAUUCCGUGUAAUAUUUUCAGAAUUGAUGGAAGAGUUUUCGUGUUUUUCAUAUUUUUAUUCACAGGAAACGUUCGGCCAAUUAUCGGGAUAUGUCGUCUCUUUUUUCUUUGGUUUCCACUUUAAUUUGUGUCUGCCAUCUCGUGCAUAAAGCGAAGCAUGGAAGAAAAUGACGGGAAAUAUUGUGUAGAAUUUUAUGCUCCGUCACAGUCUGACGGUUUGGUUGAUAACCUAAGAGGGAAGAAAUAUUAUUUUACAUUUUUGCAACUUGUCGUUCGCGAGAAAAGUAAAGACUCUUUUAAGUGAAAUAAUUCAAAAAUCUUUUUGCUUUGUCUUGAAUCUAUUAUCUUCGUGAUUUAUAAAAGAUAAUAACGGCAUGAAACAAUUAAUAGCACUGCAUAAAAAUGUUGCAGAUUUCUAGAUCUUUUAAUAUGCGAAAUUUCAUGUGGAACAAACUUUUAUUUUUGAUUAAUUCGUAUACAAAUCUUUAAAUCGAAAUUAAAUAUUACAUUUCUUGAAUUAAAUCAAUUACAAGGCUUGGAAAAAUUA
This is a long non-coding RNA of Apis cerana (Asiatic honeybee), 1437 nucleotides long. RefSeq lists it as uncharacterized. Lineage: Eukaryota; Metazoa; Arthropoda; Insecta; Hymenoptera; Apidae. The record is from RefSeq and is a predicted model, not a curated record.